AUUGAACGCUGGCGGCAUGCCUAACACAUGCAAGUCGAACGGUAACGCAAGGAGCUUGCUUCUUGGCGACGAGUGGCGGACGGGUGAGUAAUGCUUAGGAAUCUGCCCAGUAGUGGGGGACAACUCGAGGAAACUCGAGCUAAUACCGCAUACGCCCUACGGGGGAAAGCGGGGGAUCUUCGGACCUCGCGCUAUUGGAUGAGCCUAAGUCGGAUUAGCUUGUUGGUGAGGUAAGAGCUCACCAAGGCGACGAUCCGUAGCUGGUCUGAGAGGACGAUCAGCCACACUGGGACUGAGACACGGCCCAGACUCCUACGGGAGGCAGCAGUGGGGAAUAUUGGACAAUGGGGGCAACCCUGAUCCAGCAAUGCCGCGUGUGUGAAGAAGGCCUGCGGGUUGUAAAGCACUUUCAGUAGAGAAGAAAAGCUUACGGUUAAUACCUGUGAGUCUUGACGUAACCUACAGAAGAAGCACCGGCUAACUCCGUG
This 488-nucleotide ribosomal RNA is filed under the name uncultured bacterium. Its description in RNAcentral is "bacterial SSU rRNA". It matches the Rfam family "Bacterial small subunit ribosomal RNA", at positions 30 to 507 of the family's 1533-position model. The record is from RNAcentral.